ACGCUCGACACCUACGGGAGGUAGCAGGUGGGGAAUAUUGCACAAUGGGGGAAACCCUGAUGCAGCGACGCCGCGUGAAGGAAGAAGUAUCUCGGUAUGUAAACUUCUAUCAGCAGGGAAGAAAGUGACGGUACCUGACUAAGAAGCCCCGGCUAACUACGUGCUAGCAGCCGCGGUAAUCUGAGCGGGCUGGCAAGGC
This 199-nucleotide ribosomal RNA is filed under the name uncultured bacterium. RNAcentral's name for it is "partial 16S ribosomal RNA". It matches the Rfam family "Bacterial small subunit ribosomal RNA", at positions 328 to 539 of the family's 1533-position model. The record is from RNAcentral.